ACGGAGGGUGCAAGCGUUGCUCGGAAUUAUUGGGCGUAAAGGGUAGGUAGGUGGUCUCGUUUGUCAGGGGUGAAAGCCUUGGGCUUAACUCAAGAAGUGCCCCUGAAACGGCGAGACUCGAGUACUGGAGAGGCUAGUGGAAUUCCCGGUGUAGCGGUGAAAUGCGUAGAGAUCGGGAGGAACACCAGAGGCGAAGGCGGCUAGCUGGACAGUCACUGACACUCAACUACGAAAGCGUGGGGAGCAAACAGGA
RNAcentral lists this ribosomal RNA (253 nucleotides) under uncultured prokaryote. Its description in RNAcentral is "partial 16S ribosomal RNA". It matches the Rfam family "Bacterial small subunit ribosomal RNA", at positions 525 to 777 of the family's 1533-position model. The record is from RNAcentral.